This 253-nucleotide ribosomal RNA is filed under the name uncultured bacterium. RNAcentral describes it as "partial 16S ribosomal RNA". It matches the Rfam family "Bacterial small subunit ribosomal RNA", at positions 524 to 776 of the family's 1533-position model. The record is from RNAcentral.
CACGUAAGGGGCAAGCGUUGUUCGGAAUUAUUGGGCGUAAAGGGCGCGUAGGCGGUUUUGCAAGCCUGGUGUGAAAGCCUGGGGCUCAACCCCGGAACUGCAUUGGGAACUGCAAGACUUGAAUCAUGGAAGGGAAACUAGAAUUCCAGGUGUAGGGGUGAAAUCUGUAGAUAUCUGGAAGAAUACCGGUGGCGAAGGCGAGUUUCUGGCCAAUGAUUGACGCUGAGGCGCGAAAGUGCGGGGAGCAAACAGG